RNAcentral lists this ribosomal RNA (453 nucleotides) under uncultured bacterium. RNAcentral describes it as "bacterial SSU rRNA". It matches the Rfam family "Bacterial small subunit ribosomal RNA", at positions 340 to 786 of the family's 1533-position model. The record is from RNAcentral.
UACGGAAGGCAGCAGUGGGGAAUAUUGCACAAUGGGCGCAAGCCUGAUGCAGCCAUGCCGCGUGUAUGAAGAAGGCCUUCGGGUUGUAAAGUACUUUCAGUCGUGAGGAAGGUGUUAAGGUUAAUAACCUUAGCAAUUGACGUUAGCGACAGAAGAAGCACCGGCUAACUCCGUGCCAGCAGCCGCGGUAAUACGGAGGGUGCGAGCGUUAAUCGGAAUUACUGGGCGUAAAGGGCACGCAGGCGGUUAAUUAAGUUGGAUGUGAAAUCCCCGGGCUUAACCUGGGAAUGGCAUUCAAGACUGGUUAGCUAGAGUCUUGUAGAGGGGGUAGAAUUCCAUGUGUAGCGGUGAAAUGCGUAGAGGUGUGGAGGAAUACCGGUGGCGAAGGCGGCCCCUGGACAAAGACUGACGCUCAUGUGCGAAAGCGUGGGGAGCAAACAGGGAUUAGAUACC